GGUAAUAUAUGUGCUAAGUUAUUUAAAUAUAUUAAAGACACUUAAAUUUGAUAAAUAUUCACACAAAAUUAUUUAUUGUGAAUAAUAUAUAAAAAUGAAGAUUAUAUAUAUUAAUUGUUACCGUCCCCGCCCCUUUUACAUGUCCAUUAUGACUUUGCCCUAUCAAUUUGAUUAUACUUUGACUGAAAUUUAUAUAUAUCACAAUUAAAAAAAUAAUAAAAAAUAAAUUAUUAGAAAGUAUAUUUAGUCUAUUUUAACAUGUAAUUUUGAGAUUUUAAAAAUAGAGUAAAUGACAAAGUGGUGGCUGUAGUUUUUCAAAUUUUACAAAAUAUUGGCUCGAGUUUAAAAACUACAGAUUGGUGGCUGGAUUUUACUUCCACCUUUUAAUAAGGUGGCUGCCGUCAAAGUCCGUUAAAUCUAAGCCGUUAAGUUCAAAAAAAAUUAAAAAAAUAAGGUAAAAACGGGUUUUUACACAUACCCUCACUCUCUCUCCCUCUUUUCUCUCCAACUCACCCUAAUUCACUUCAUCCAUCACCCAAGCUAUAUACACUCAAUGACUCAAUCAAUCAUAAGUAUAUUUCUUAUUUCUGAUAUCAGAUUCAAAUGGGUUACAACUUACAAACCGAUGGAGAAGAUGGGUGGAUUGGUUUUUGAUUAGACAGAUGGGUCAUGGACUUUGGAGGAUGACUUUACUACUCUACCCAAUCGGGAAUAUUGAGAGAAUAUAUAUCUCCUUCUGCUAAUAAUCUGCGACCCCGAGAAUAGGGGUAAUCAACACCACAAGCAUGUGCAAACACAUUCUCUGGACUAAAACAACCUAUUUUCUUAAAAAUCACGCACAUAUAGAAGAAAAAUAGUUAAGGUCUCUUCACUUUUGUCGCACAGACAGAGUCAAAUAAAUCUUCCUUCUUGAAUCCAGGGUGCAAGAAAUGAAGAGUUUUAUUAUAUAUUCGGCAACUGAGAAACCAAAAGAGGUUAUAGAUUCUUUACACGUUGUCCAACCAAGCAAUCCUGCUCAAGCUGAAGUGGAGAUGGUGAAAUGUAUUUUUGUGCUUUUUUUUUUAUUAAUUUUUUUAGACUUAAUAGAUGAAUUUAACGGAUCUUGACGGCAGCUAGGGGUGAGCAUAACCGGAUAUCCGGUCCGGUUAUAAAUUAUAAACCGGAUAUCCGGUUUUUCGGAUCACUAAAAUUCUAUUCCGGUUCCGGUUUCACCGGAUAUCCGGUUUUUCGGAUAUUCUUUAAAAUCGGAUCAGAAAACGGAUUAUCCGGAUCCGAUUCAUACUCAUUGCUUAUUAUUUUUCUUGCAAAUAAUAAUACAAAAUCCUUUUUUA
This 1331-nucleotide long non-coding RNA is filed under the name Daucus carota (carrot). Its description in RNAcentral is "long non-coding RNA (DCAR_LNC003189)". Lineage: Eukaryota; Viridiplantae; Streptophyta; Magnoliopsida; Apiales; Apiaceae. The record is from RNAcentral.